Molecule: unclassified non-coding RNA, 705 nt
Filed under: Curvularia heteropogonicola
Lineage: Eukaryota; Fungi; Ascomycota; Dothideomycetes; Pleosporales; Pleosporaceae
Description: sequence contains 18S rRNA gene, ITS1, 5.8S rRNA gene, ITS2
Rfam family: Eukaryotic small subunit ribosomal RNA (bases 1-177)
Source: RNAcentral
CCUUUGUACACACCGCCCGUCGCUACUACCGAUUGAAUGGCUCAGUGAGGCGUUCGGACUGGCUCGGGGAGGUUGGCAACGACCACCCCAAGCCGGAAAGUUCGUCAAACUCGGUCAUUUAGAGGAAGUAAAAGUCGUAACAAGGUCUCCGUAGGUGAACCUGCGGAGGGAUCAUUACACAAUAACAUAUGAAGGCUGCUCGCGGCUGGAGUAUUUAUUACCCUUGUCUUUUGCGCACUUGUUGUUUCCUGGGCGGGCUCGCCCGCCACCAGGACCACAUACAAACCUUUUUUAUGUAGUUGCAAUCAGCGUCAGUACAACAAAUGUAAAUCAUUUACAACUUUCAACAACGGAUCUCUUGGUUCUGGCAUCGAUGAAGAACGCAGCGAAAUGCGAUACGUAGUGUGAAUUGCAGAAUUCAGUGAAUCAUCGAAUCUUUGAACGCACAUUGCGCCCUUUGGUAUUCCAAAGGGCAUGCCUGUUCGAGCGUCAUUUGUACCCUCAAGCUUUGCUUGGUGUUGGGCGUUUUUUGUCUUUGGCCUGCCCAAAGACUCGCCUCAAAACGAUUGGCAGCCGGCCUCCUGGUUUCGCAGCGCAGCACAUUUUUGCGCUUGCAAUCAGCAAUAGAGGACGGCACUCCAUCAAGACUCGUUUUUAUCACUUUUGACCUCGGAUCAGGUAGGGAUACCCGCURAACUUAAGCAU